RNAcentral lists this ribosomal RNA (468 nucleotides) under uncultured bacterium. RNAcentral's name for it is "partial 16S ribosomal RNA". It matches the Rfam family "Bacterial small subunit ribosomal RNA", at positions 28 to 507 of the family's 1533-position model. The record is from RNAcentral.
GACGAACGCUGGCGGCGUGCUUAACACAUGCAAGUCGAACGGCAAGGCCCUGCGUUUGUGGGGUGCUCGAGGGGCGAACGGGGGAGUAACACGUGAGUAACCUGCCCUUGACUUUGGGGUAACUUCAGGAAACUGGGGCUAAUACCGGAUAGGAGCCCCUGCUGCAUGGUGGGGGUUGGAAAGUUUCGGCGGGUGGGGAUGGACUCGCGGCUUAUCAGCUUGUUGGUGGGGUAGUGGCUUACCAAGGCUUUGACGGGUAGCCGGCCUGGGAGGGUGACCGGCCACAUUGGGACUGAGGUACGGACCAGACUCCUACGGGAGGCAGCAGUGGGGAAUAUUGCACAAUGGGCGGAAGCCUGAUGCAGCAACGCCGCGUGCGGGAUGACGGCCUUCGGGUUGUAAACCGCUUUCGCCUGUGACGAAGCGUGAGUGACGGUAAUGGGUAAAGAAGCACCGGCUAACUACGUG